GACAGAGGGUGCGAACGUUGUUCGGAAUUACUGGGCGUAAAGCGCGUGUAGGCGGUCCAGCAAGUCGGGUGUGAAACCCCUAGGCUCAACCUGGGAAGUGCAUUCGAUACUGUUGGACUGGAGUCCCGGAGAGGAUGGUGGAACUCUCGGUGUAGAGGUGAAAUUCGUAGAUAUCGGGAAGAACAUCGGUGGCGAAGGCGGCCAUCUGGACGGUGACUGACGCUGAGACGCGAAAGCGUGGGGAG
RNAcentral lists this ribosomal RNA (245 nucleotides) under uncultured bacterium. RNAcentral's name for it is "partial 16S ribosomal RNA". It matches the Rfam family "Bacterial small subunit ribosomal RNA", at positions 524 to 768 of the family's 1533-position model. The record is from RNAcentral.